UCCCUGGUGGCUCAGCAGGUAAAGAAUCCAGCAUUGUCACUGCUGUGGCCCAAGUUCAAUCCCUGGCCCGGGAA
Molecule: transfer RNA, 74 nt
Filed under: Sus scrofa (pig)
Lineage: Eukaryota; Metazoa; Chordata; Mammalia; Artiodactyla; Suidae
Rfam family: tRNA
About the family: Transfer RNA (tRNA) molecules are approximately 80 nucleotides in length. Their secondary structure includes four short double-helical elements and three loops (D, anti-codon, and T loops).
Source: Rfam by way of RNAcentral